Molecule: long non-coding RNA, 1519 nt
Organism: Vespa velutina
Lineage: Eukaryota; Metazoa; Arthropoda; Insecta; Hymenoptera; Vespidae
Exons: 3
Source: RefSeq, a predicted model, not a curated record
AUGUAGUCGUACGGAGAGUGUGCAUUUCUACGUUUAUUCCUUUAGAGUACGAAAGCAGACUGACGUAAAAACUCGCAUUGUCCUUCCUAUGGUCCUUUUCGUUGGCAUUAAACCGAUCAACGCACGCUGAAUGGAGAAUAUUUCAAGUUUAACGCGUCAUAAGAGUGGGAAGUUCAUUAUAUAGAUGGCGUACUGACUGCGCUUGCGCGUAGGUCCAGUUAGUCUUCCCGCUAUUGGUGAUUCCGCCAUUUGGAAUUAUGUCGUCGUAUCAGCCGCAACAGAUCUUCGUCGUCUCAUUAAUUACAGUACUGAGCACAACUGAGAAUGAUGGAAGCGCAUAAUCCCUACCAUGUAGCAACAACGCGAGCGUCCGGUUUCUCUUUUUCCUCUUAACACGACAAGUUUCAUUGUCAAGUGUUCGCAGAAGAAAUGAAGGUCGUAACAAAGGGAACUCAUGGCAAGCGUGAAGCCAUAUGUAGUUCUUUUCUUAAUAUCUACUUUAAUAUUGGUUGAGUAAGACUAUAAUAAAACACGUACCAUGUACUUCAUUGCUAUUGCGAACUAAUUAAUGUACGUAAUAAAGCAACUUAAUAUAAGUCGGUUUUUUUGCAUUUGUGCACUGUCUGCCUGCAAAGAUACACUUUUUCUUUCAAAAAAUAUAUUUUCUCUUCCUUUUUUUUUUUCGUCUUUUUUUCGUAUCAAAAAUAGAUAUUUUUUAAGAAAUUAUAUAGGUCAGUCCAGUUCUUGAAAUUUAUAUAGAUUAAUGCUGUCCGAAAAUAUUUGUCAUAGUUUCCUCCGUGGUCGAUUUUUAUUUCCUGUCGCUUAUACAUAAUCACAUAUUUAUUGUUUCUGCUUUGUUCCUUUCUUUUCGAUAGUCGAACAUUCUCGAUCAUAUAUCAUUAUCGAUUCAUGAUACAUUACUUCGAUCAUAAAUGACGUAAUUAUUCGAUAUGUAUAAAUAAAAUUUCGACGAUUAUUUUCACAUAUACAAAUACGUAAAUCCAUUGAAUUAUUUCGAUUUAACAAUUACUCAUUAUUUCAGACGUAAUAUAUAAAGCAAAAGGAUCAUCUACACACUCGUAAUAGAAGUGUAUAUCUAUUAAACGUUUUUAUAUCUCUAGAAAGUAUAAAUGUUUCGUUAGAAAAUUAUUCUCUAUGUUUAUAAUAUGAAUUAAUUACAUUUGUCUUUCGUAAACUUAUUUAUGAGAAAAUAUAAUAAUUGAUUAUUUAAAAAAUUGCACAUAUAAUACUACAUUUCUUCGAAUUUAUAUCUUACGUUACCCCGACGAAAAAACAAGCUUAUACUGAAUAAAAUCUUAGCUAACCCUAUCAGACAAACAAAAAGUGAUUAUAAUGGUGUCACGCCGAAGUAUUAUAGUAAAAAAAAAAAAAAAAAAAAAAAAAAAAAAAAAAGUAUACGUAGUUAAAUAAAACUGUUUUUGAGCUUCCAUAUAAAUAUAUUUCAUAAUGAUAAAAGAGGCUCAAUGAGUUUAUAUGAUAAAAAAGGACACGUCAGUGA